GACGAACGCUGGCGGCGUGCCUAAUACAUGCAAGUAGAACGCUGAAGGAGGAGCUUGCUCUUCUGGAUGAGUUGCGAACGGGUGAGUAACGCGUAGGUAACCUGCCUGGUAGCGGGGGAUAACUAUUGGAAACGAUAGCUAAUACCGCAUAACAGUAGAUGUUGCAUGACAUUUACUUAAAAGGUGCAAUUGCAUCACUACCAGAUGGACCUGCGUUGUAUUAGCUAGUUGGUGGGGUAACGGCUCACCAAGGCGACGAUACAUAGCCGACCUGAGAGGGGGAUCGGCCACACUGGGACUGAGACACGGCCCAGACUCCUACGGGAGGCGGCAGUAGGGAAUCUUCGGCAAUGGACGGAAGUCUGACCGAGCAACGCCGCGUGAGUGAAGAAGGUUUUCGGAUCGUAAAGCUCUGUUGUAAGAGAAGAACGAGUGUGAGAGUGGAAAGUUCACACUGUGACGGUAUCUUACCAGAAAGGGACGGCUAACUACGUG
Molecule: ribosomal RNA, 495 nt
Filed under: uncultured bacterium
Lineage: Bacteria
Description: partial 16S ribosomal RNA
Rfam family: Bacterial small subunit ribosomal RNA
Source: RNAcentral